Molecule: ribosomal RNA, 358 nt
Filed under: Oceanimonas smirnovii
Lineage: Bacteria; Pseudomonadati; Pseudomonadota; Gammaproteobacteria; Aeromonadales; Aeromonadaceae
Description: bacterial SSU rRNA
Rfam family: Bacterial small subunit ribosomal RNA
Source: RNAcentral
AUUCGGUCGGGAACUCAAAGGAGACUGCCGGUGAUAAACCGGAGGAAGGUGGGGACGACGUCAAGUCAUCAUGGCCCUUACGGGUAGGGCUACACACGUGCUACAAUGGCGCGUACAGAGGGCAGCGAACUUGCGAGAGUAAGCCAAUCCCAAAAAGCUGCGUCGUAGUCCGGAUCGGAGUCUGCAACUCGACUCCGUGAAGUCGGAAUCGCUAGUAAUCGUGGAUCAGAAUGCCACGGUGAAUACGUUCCCGGGCCUUGUACACACCGCCCGUCACACCAUGAGAGUGGGUUGCUCCAGAAGUAGAUAGCUUAACCUUCGGGGGGGCGUUUACCACGGAGUGAUUCAUGACUGGGGU